CUAGUAAUUGUGUGACAAACGUUCAAAAUUAUUCUUACUAAAAACAAUUGCCGUUAUCAGUAUAAAAUAUUCUGAGCGUCUCAAAAGGGUAUGGAAUUCAAGGUUUCUGUACUACUUUUUGAAGAUGUAAAGCCGGUGGUGUACCUUCAAGCGAAAACUACAUUCAGUGGUAUGAUUGGUUAGCGAAACAAAAUUGCCGUGAAAAAGUAGGACGCGGUGAACUUCCCUUCCUCCAAGCAAUUUCGCCCAGUGGGAGAGCGGGGUUCAGAAAAUAUCAAAAUUUCUGGCUGG
Non-coding RNA from Paramuricea clavata, 291 nucleotides. Lineage: Eukaryota; Metazoa; Cnidaria; Anthozoa; Malacalcyonacea; Plexauridae. The record is from the annotation of a GenBank genome assembly.